AGAGUUUGAUCCUGGCUCAGGAUGAACGCUAGCGACAGGCUUAACACAUGCAAGUCGAGGGGCAGCGGGGAGGUAGCAAUACUUCCGCCGGCGACCGGCGCACGGGUGAGUAACACGUAUGGAACCUGCCCGUAGCAGGGGGAUAAACGGAAGAAAUUCCGUCUAAUACCGCGUAAUAACUCCGAGAGGCAUCUCAUGGAGUUUAAAGGGUAACACCGGCUACGGAUGGCCAUGCGGCGCAUUAGCUAGUUGGCGGGGUAACGGCCCACCAAGGCGACGAUGCGUAGGGGUUCUGAGAGGAAGGUCCCCCACACUGGUACUGAGACACGGACCAGACUCCUACGGGAGGCAGCAGUGAGGAAUAUUGGUCAAUGGCCGGAAGGCUGAACCAGCCAAGUCGCGUGAGGGAAUAAGGCCCUACGGGUCGUAAACCUCUUUUGCCAGGGAGCAAUGCCGUCCACGUGUGGACGGAAGGAGAGUACCUGGAGAAAAAGCAUCGGCUAACUCCGUGCCAGCAGCCGCGGUAAUACGGAGGAUGCGAGCGUUAUCCGGAUUCAUUGGGUUUAAAGGGUGCGCAGGCGGCCUGUUAAGUCAGCGGUAAAAGCCCGGGGCUCAACCCCGGCGAGCCGUUGAAACUGGCGGGCUGGAGUUGGAGAGAAGUACGCGGAAUGCGCGGUGUAGCGGUGAAAUGCUUAGAUAUCGCGCAGAACCCCGAUUGCGAAGGCAGCGUACCGGCUCCACACUGACGCUGAGGCACGAAAGCGUGGGUAUCGAACAGGAUUAGAUACCCUGGUAGUCCACGCAGUAAACGAUGAAUGCUUGCUGUCCGGGCAGUGAUAUGCCUGGGGGGCGAAGCGAAAGCGAUAAGCAUUCCACCUGGGGAGUACGCCGGCAACGGUGAAACUCAAAGGAAUUGACGGGGGCCCGCACAAGCGGAGGAACAUGUGGUUUAAUUCGAUGAUACGCGAGGAACCUUACCCGGGCUUAAAUUGCACCUGAAUAAUGUGGAAACAUGUUAGCCGUAAGGCAGGUGUGAAGGUGCUGCAUGGUUGUCGUCAGCUCGUGCCGUGAGGUGUCGGCUUAAGUGCCAUAACGAGCGCAACCCUUAUCUUCAGUUACUAACAGGUCAUGCUGAGGACUCUGGAGAGACUGCCGUCGUAAGAUGUGAGGAAGGUGGGGAUGACGUCAAAUCAGCACGGCCCUUACGUCCGGGGCUACACACGUGUUACAAUGGGAGGUACAGAAGGCCGCUACCUGGCGACAGGAUGCCAAUCCCCAAAACCUCUCUCAGUUCGGAUCGAAGUCUGCAACCCGACUUCGUGAAGCUGGAUUCGCUAGUAAUCGCGCAUCAGCCAUGGCGCGGUGAAUACGUUCCCGGGCCUUGCACACACCGCCCGUCAAG
Molecule: ribosomal RNA, 1402 nt
Filed under: uncultured bacterium
Lineage: Bacteria
Description: bacterial SSU rRNA
Rfam family: Bacterial small subunit ribosomal RNA
Source: RNAcentral